AUGGAUCCGCUUGACGAGGAGUCCUUCUUGGACGAGCUCAUGCCGCUUCAACGGGAGGAGGCGCCGGCGCUGACUUACCAGGGCAGCAACGGCAUGAUGACGAUCAGCGACCUCCUCUUCUACGGCGGCGAGGCCUGCACUGCCGAGGAGAGCAGUAGCGUGGGCUUUGUCUGGCCAUUUCAGCAGCCCAUGCCGCCCUCGCCACCGGCCGCGCGUCCGCACCCGCCGAACCAGGAGUUCAACUUUAACUACCUGAGCGAAGUGUGCAACCCCUGGAGGAGCUACAUCCCUGACCCUCCUGCGGUCGUCCAGGCUGCUGCCGGCAAGGGGCCGCUCACUCUUCCCCUCCAUGACGCUCUUGCGAGCUCGUCAACGUUCGUGUUCGGGGGAGGGGACGGGGAGAGCUUGGGGAUGAGAAGCAUGCCGGCCUUCGGCACCCACCCAGAGAGCAAGCUCAACGCCGGAAGCGGAACUCCGUCAAAGAACCUCAUGGCGGAAAGGCGGCGCCGGAAGCGGCUCAACGACCGCCUUUCCAUGCUCCGCUCCACCGUGCCCAAGAUUAGCAAGAUUGGCGCCACGCCCGAGGAGCUGAACCUGCUCAAAAAUUUCUCCAGCGGUGGCAAUGAGGAGACGCCGACGAGGAGUUCCACCAAGGUAUGUGCAAACGUCGAGAACCGAGGCGGAGGCGACACGAAGAUUGAGAUCUUCUGCUCGACAAACCCCGGAGCGCUGAUCGCGACGGUGACCGCGCUGGACGUGCUGGGGUUGGAGAUCAAGCAGUGCGUCGUGAGUUGCUUCAGUGACUUCGCCAUGCAGGCCUCGUGCUCACAAGCGGAAGGGAAGAGGCAGGUGAUAAGCACAGACGAGAUCAAGCAGGCAUUGUUGAGGAGCGUAGGCUACGGGGGAAGGUGUCUAUAA
This 918-nucleotide ribosomal RNA is filed under the name Triticum aestivum (bread wheat). RNAcentral describes it as "partial small subunit ribosomal RNA". The record is from RNAcentral. Lineage: Eukaryota; Viridiplantae; Streptophyta; Magnoliopsida; Poales; Poaceae.